CAGGGCCACUUUUCUUUCGGCACAGAUACGAUGAAAAGUGAACUGUUCCACGCUCCGCUACGCUGAAAAGAACACCACGGUGUGUACAAUGCCAGCUGGUAAGCACGAAAAAUUUUCACUCAAUAGUGAGAAACUUGGUGCCGCGAAAGGAUAAGCUUUGUCUCUAGAAAUAAUAACGCCCCGGCCGUUUGAUACACCAGAUUAAUUAAUAGGGAAACGCGCCGGUUAUCGUUUUCAUCGUCGUGCCUUUGUUCCACGUACGUGUUCCAUAUAUGUUUAAUACAUUGAAGAUCGUGAAGUUGUGUUAACACAAUAUGUAUGUCAUUUGCAACUACUUUUCCAUCAAUUUACGAUAUCGAUCUUUAGCUUUUUAAUAUUCUAGCCGUGAAACGGAGCACCAAGGAUUUGCUUAAACUGUUAGUUUGGAACAAUGUUCAGCUGCUAUAACAUUUGCAAUUUUUCUCCUCCGUAUCUUUCCUGGAAUUUCCGACUGCGUUACUCGGGAUCAACAUUAAAUGUAAUCUAAUUACAAUUUUAAUUAAAUGAAAACGCUAAAUAAUAAUUAAACGCCGUCCUUCUGUAGAAACAGGUUUAAUAUCUCUGCAUAUUCAAUUACGUUAUUUUUCAAUUUUCAUUUAUAUAUUCUUCUCAAAGAGUAUUUUAUAUUUGCUAUUAUCAAUAUAUUACAGCGAUAUCAUUCGUGUCAGCCUUCUAAGGUUCACAGUGACACCCGGUAACGAUACUUGGGGAUUAAUAUCAGCCCCUAAGACACACAAAGCAACCAAACCAAGCCACACAAGAUUCCUGUCAACAUAAUCUAUCUCCUGUAACCUAAUCAGCUAAUUCGCAAACGUUUCCUCCCGACGCCAACCAAGUAUCUAUAACCUGGAUUCGAGCAUCCGAAAUAUCUCCGACCUUCCACCUUAUCCACAAAUAUCAGCCUUCCACCUUCCCUUCGCAAGUUUCUAUUUCUUCAUUUCUUCCGCAAGAAACUACGAGCACACGUGGAGCCGCUAUCUGUCCCGAUAUCAACAUCGAUAAAUCGAAAUGGGAACGAAGGUCCAGGAUUUUCUAUUAAGCCGACUGUUCGCUAGCUGCCAGACGUCAAGAGGCAGAGUUACAAUUAUCGAGGCCAUUCGUUCGUUACGAGACGCUGGAUUCUCGGUAACGACGAGAGGAUACCUUCGUUUUUUCCAAUUCUUUCGCCUUCUCCGAUGCCUUUACUGACUGAACUGACCAGAGCUACUCUCCGCGUGGACUUUAAGUGGGGUUACCGGAUGGGGGUCAGCUGUUAUUGGCGUGUACCGUUCGCCACGUAAGUGCUAAGUGCGAGAGCUGCGAGGUUACCGACGAGAUUACCCCUGCAACACCAAUAAUCGAGUAAUAACGAAGUCGACCGGCUCGCUUCCUCCUGUACCCACCUAUCUCGGAAGCGACGCAGAUUCCACGGCAGAUCGGUAUCAGAGGCCGCCAUGGUUCGGACCACACCGCCGGCUAUAAUCUGGCAUAUAUGUGCUUCGAAAUUACUCGUUACAUAUAUAUAAUACUUUGAAGGGAUACGCGAUGAAUGGGCUUUGUGGAAUUGUUUAAACGUUCCUGGGGAUGGUUUUAAAGAGACUGAAUACCUGGUUCUGAUAGAGAAUUUCAACAAUAUAUAGAACUUCGAACUAACUGCUAUAGUGAUACGAGUUUCUCAGAAAUAAAACUGAUCAAGUCACUUUCCAUGAGUUUCACAAUUUUAUCUUCAUAUGUGAUUAUAUAUCGAGCUUCUCAGGAACGAGUUAUCCACUUGCACGAGUUCAUGUGUUUCAAGAAAAUGCGUCAGGAGCUCGCUGUCGCGUUUCGCCGCCUCGCAGAGGCCAACCAACGGGAAAAUGGCGUCGCUGCCCGUGAAGAUAAAGUUGGACGCGAUUCGGACACGCUGAUAAGGGGUGAAACGAGCGUGGCUGUGGAAAUGACGGCUCAGACGGCGAUUAGCCUUCUCGAGUAGGUCGAGGGAAAGAAAUUGCACAAUGGGGCAGAAACGACGUAGAAACGACACGAAAAACCACUAUUCUUGAUAACAAACAAUGGCCUUUGUUUUACUUUCUACGAUGCGAUUACGUUAACUGAUAUUUUGAUGUUGUCACUGUUUGCCGGUAUUAGAGGCAAGUAUUUUUUUACAGAUCGAAACGAUAUUGUAUAAUAAAGGCAAUCUAUAUUGGUAUUAAAGGACAUUUUAUCACGCGAGAUGGAUAGCUGAUUUUUUAUGUAAGUUAAAUUAUAGGAUCGUAAUGUAAUGUAAAACCAUGGGAACAAUGAAAUGUAUUGAAUUGGAAAACUAUAUUGUGAAAAUGAAUUGUAUUGAAGGUUUGACGCAACAAGCCGAGGAAGGUGAUUAUUUAGGGAAUAAAAUUAUAAUACUAUGCGUAGAAGCAGAUUUGGGGAUAGAAUAUUUUUAUGUUUCCGAACAAAAGGAUUUAUAUCCACCAAUAAUACCGAACUGUAUGUAGAUACAGAUCUAGUAAAAAUAUUCGAACAAUAAGAUUUAAGAAAUUAUCCAAGAAUGCGAAAGCAAUAAUACUCAUCGUUCGGAACUAGUCAUUUCUCGAGACACUUUCUAAAAUCCCAAUCGUUCAAAUAAAUCCUAUAUAGCGCCACGUACUACGUGCUAAACGACGAAAUGAAAAUCACGCGAACAACUAUCCAUAUAUUCAAGGAUAAAAAUAAAAAUUUCUUUAAAGAAUAACACAAUCCCAUAAGAACUUUCUUCCAUUCGAACAACAUUCCAUUCGAACAAUCAAUUUAAGCGUCUCUUCUAUACAUAUAUAUCCUAUCCGAGUCUCAUUCCAAAGUCCUGUUAAAUCCAAGCUAAGCUGAAUAGCCAUUACGCGAAUGCUUCCGUGUUUCGUGUUCAAACAGAAUGAUUCCAGAAGUGCGUACGAUAAAGUUAUCCGGUGCUUUGUUGCUUGGCGAAAU
Long non-coding RNA from Bombus terrestris (buff-tailed bumblebee), 2958 nucleotides. RefSeq lists it as uncharacterized. The record is from RefSeq and is a predicted model, not a curated record. Lineage: Eukaryota; Metazoa; Arthropoda; Insecta; Hymenoptera; Apidae. The transcript has 3 exons.